Non-coding RNA from Paramuricea clavata, 263 nucleotides. Lineage: Eukaryota; Metazoa; Cnidaria; Anthozoa; Malacalcyonacea; Plexauridae. The record is from the annotation of a GenBank genome assembly.
CCAAGGCAUGUUAUCAAAUCAGAGAGAGCCAAAUAAAAUAUAAUACGUGGAUCAGCAGAUAGUCGUCUUCGUUGUCUAUUACGAUAUUGCCAUAAAUUACUCAGUUGUAAAGCUGCUCCAAUAAAACCCACUAUAGAUGUUGAUAUACAUAUUAUACUAAUUGCCAGUCUUUUUUCGUGAUUUAGUGUGCUAUCUGGAAUACAAAAGACUGACCUAUCACGUAGAAAUGCCAUAUUGUGUAAGUUCAGAGAAACUAUAUAAAC